This 253-nucleotide ribosomal RNA is filed under the name uncultured bacterium. RNAcentral's name for it is "partial 16S ribosomal RNA". It matches the Rfam family "Bacterial small subunit ribosomal RNA", at positions 524 to 776 of the family's 1533-position model. The record is from RNAcentral.
UACGUAGGGUGCGAGCGUUGUCCGGAAUUAUUGGGCGUAAAGAGCGUGUAGGCGGCCAUGUAGGUCCGGUGUGAAAACUCGAGGCUUAACCUCGAGAUGUCAUCGGAAACCAUUUGGCUAGAGUCCGGAAGGGGAGAGUGGAAUUCCUGGUGUAGCGGUGAAAUGCGCAGAUAUCAGGAAGAACACCAAUGGCGAAAGCAGCUCUCUGGGACGGUACUGACGCUGAGACGCGAAAGCGUGGGGAGCGAACAGG